AUGAACGCUGGCGGCGUGCCUAAUACAUGCAAGUCGAGCGAACGGACGAGAAGCUUGCUUCUCUGAUGUUAGCGGCGGACGGGUGAGUAACACGUGGAUAACCUACCUAUAAGACUGGGAUAACUUCGGGAAACCGGAGCUAAUACCGGAUGAUAUUUUGAACCGCAUGGUUCAAAAGUGAAAGACGGUCUUGCUGUCACUUAUAGAUGGAUCCGCGCUGCAUUAGCUAGUUGGUAAGGUAACGGCUUACCAAGGCAACGAUGCAUAGCCGACCUGAGAGGGUGAUCGGCCACACUGGAACUGAGACACGGUCCAAACUCCUACGGGAGGCAGCAGUAGGGAAUCUUCCGCAAUGGGCGAAAGCCUGACGGAGCAACGCCGCGUGAGUGAUGAAGGUCUUCGGAUCGUAAAACUCUGUUAUUAGGGAAGAACAUAUGUGUAAGUAACUGUGCACAUCUUGACGGUACCUAAUCAGAAAGCCACGGCUAACUACGUG
Molecule: ribosomal RNA, 496 nt
Filed under: uncultured bacterium
Lineage: Bacteria
Description: partial 16S ribosomal RNA
Rfam family: Bacterial small subunit ribosomal RNA
Source: RNAcentral